Molecule: ribosomal RNA, 503 nt
Filed under: uncultured bacterium
Lineage: Bacteria
Description: bacterial SSU rRNA
Rfam family: Bacterial small subunit ribosomal RNA
Source: RNAcentral
UGGCUCAGGACGAACGCUGGCGGCGUGCUUAACACAUGCAAGUCGAACGGGGAUAUCUGCGGAAGUCCUUCGGGGCGGAAGCGGAUAUUCGAGUGGCGGACGGGUGAGUAACGCGUGAGCAAUCUGUCCCAGACAGGGGGAUAACACUUGGAAACAGGUGCUAAUACCGCAUAAGACCACGGCAUCACAUGGUGCAGGGGUAAAAGGAGCGAUCCGGUUUGGGGUGAGCUCGCGUCCGAUUAGCCAGUUGGCGGGGUAACGGCCCACCAAAGCGACGAUCGGUAGCCGAUCUGAGAGGAUGACCGGCCACAUUGGAACUGAGAGACGGUCCAAACUCCUACGGGAGGCAGCAGUGGGGAAUAUUGGGCAAUGAGCGAAAGCCCUGACCCAGCAACGCCGCGUGAGUGAAGAAGGCCUUCGGGUUGUAAAGCUCUGUUAUGAGGGACGAAGGAAGUGACGGUACCUCAUAAGGAAGCCCCGGCUAACUACGUGCCAGCCGCCGC